CCUACGGGUGGCAGCAGUCGAGAAUCAUUCACAAUGGGGGAAACCCUGAUGGUGCGACGCCGCGUGGGGGAAUGAAGGUCUUCGGAUUGUAAACCCCUGUCAUGUGGGAGCAAAUUAAAAAGAUAGUACCACAAGAGGAAGAGACGGCUAACUCUGUGCCAGCAGCCGCGGUAAUACAGAGGUCUCAAGCGUUGUUCGGAAUCACUGGGCGUAAAGGGUGCGUAGGCUGUUUCGUAAGUCGUGUGUGAAAGGCGCGGGCUCAACCCGCGGACGGCACAUGAUACUGCGAGACUAGAGUAAUGGAGGGGGAAGCGGAAUUCGCGGUGUAGCAGUGAAAUGCGUAGAUAUCGAGAGGAACACUCGUGGCGAAGGCGGGUUCCUGGACAUUAACUGACGCUGAGGCACGAAGGCCUGGGGAGCGAAAGGGAUUAGAUACCCGAGUAGUC
RNAcentral lists this ribosomal RNA (446 nucleotides) under uncultured bacterium. Its description in RNAcentral is "partial 16S ribosomal RNA". It matches the Rfam family "Bacterial small subunit ribosomal RNA", at positions 338 to 795 of the family's 1533-position model. The record is from RNAcentral.